Molecule: ribosomal RNA, 609 nt
Filed under: Streptococcus equinus
Lineage: Bacteria; Bacillati; Bacillota; Bacilli; Lactobacillales; Streptococcaceae
Description: bacterial SSU rRNA
Rfam family: Bacterial small subunit ribosomal RNA
Source: RNAcentral
GACGAACGCUGGCGGCGUGCCUAAUACAUGCAAGUAGAACGCUGAAGACUUUAGCUUGCUAAAGUUGGAAGAGUUGCGAACGGGUGAGUAACGCGUAGGUAACCUGCCUACUAGCGGGGGAUAACUAUUGGAAACGAUAGCUAAUACCGCAUAACAGCAUUUAACCCAUGUUAGAUGCUUGAAAGGAGCAAUUGCUUCACUAGUAGAUGGACCUGCGUUGUAUUAGCUAGUUGGUGAGGUAACGGCUCACCAAGGCGACGAUACAUAGCCGACCUGAGAGGGUGAUCGGCCACACUGGGACUGAGACACGGCCCAGACUCCUACGGGAGGCAGCAGUAGGGAAUCUUCGGCAAUGGGGGCAACCCUGACCGAGCAACGCCGCGUGAGUGAAGAAGGUUUUCGGAUCGUAAAGCUCUGUUGUAAGAGAAGAACGUGUGUGAGAGUGGAAAGUUCACACAGUGACGGUAACUUACCAGAAAGGGACGGCUAACUACGUGCCAGCAGCCGCGGUAAUACGUAGGUCCCGAGCGUUGUCCGGAUUUAUUGGGCGUAAAGCGAGCGCAGGCGGUUUAAUAAGUCUGAAGUUAAAGGCAGUGGCUUAACCAUUGU